UGAGCAAUCUGCCCUUCUCUUCGGAAUAAGCGUUGGAAACGACGUCUAAUGCCGAAUACGACCUCCUUUCGCAUGAUCGGAGGUGGAAAGCUCCGGCGGAGAAGGAUGAGCUCGCGGCCUAUCAGCUAGUUGGUGAGGUAAUGGCUCACCAAGGCGACGGACGGGUAGCCGGCCUGAGGAGGGUGACCGGCCACACGUGGGACUGAGACACGGCCCAGACCUCCGUACGGGGAGCA
This 236-nucleotide ribosomal RNA is filed under the name uncultured bacterium. Its description in RNAcentral is "partial 16S ribosomal RNA". It matches the Rfam family "Bacterial small subunit ribosomal RNA", at positions 118 to 350 of the family's 1533-position model. The record is from RNAcentral.